RNAcentral lists this ribosomal RNA (465 nucleotides) under Salmonella enterica subsp. enterica. Its description in RNAcentral is "bacterial SSU rRNA". It matches the Rfam family "Bacterial small subunit ribosomal RNA", at positions 338 to 795 of the family's 1533-position model. Lineage: Bacteria; Pseudomonadati; Pseudomonadota; Gammaproteobacteria; Enterobacterales; Enterobacteriaceae. The record is from RNAcentral.
CCUACGGGUGGCUGCAGUGGGGAAUCUUGCGCAAUGCGCGAAAGCGUGACGCAGCAACGCCGCGUGGGGGAAGACGGCCUUCGGGUUGUAAACCCCUUUCAGUUGGGACGAAGGUUCGCCGGUGAAUAGCCGUGCGGAUUGACGGUACCUCCACAAGAAGCUCCGGCUAACUACGUGCCAGCAGCCGCGGUAAUACGUAGGGAGCAAGCGUUGUCCGGAAUCAUUGGGCGUAAAGCGCGCGUAGGUGGCUUCGUAAGUCCGCUGUGAAAGUCAAGGGCUCAACCCUUGGAUGCCGGUGGAUACUGUGGAGCUAGAGUACGGAAGAGGCGAGUGGAAUUCCUGGUGUAGCGGUGGAAUGCGCAGAUAUCAGGAGGAACACCAAUAGCGAAGGCAGCUCGCUGGGACGUUACUGACGCUGAGGCGCGAAAGCGUGGGGAGCGAACAGGAUUAGAUACCCUUGUAGUC